AGUGAACGCUGGCGGUAGGCCUAACACAUGCAAGUCGAACGGCAGCACAGUAAGGGCUUGCUCUUACGGGUGGCGAGUGGCGGACGGGUGAGGAAUACAUCGGAAUCUACUUUUUCGUGGGGGAUAACGUAGGGAAACUUACGCUAAUCCCGCAUACGACCUACGGGUGAAAGCAGGGGAUCUUCGGACCUUGCGCGAUUGAAUGAGCCGAUGUCGGAUUAGCUAGUUGGCGGGGUAAAGGCCCACCAAGGCGACGAUCCGUAGCUGGUCUGAGAGGAUGAUCAGCCACACUGGAACUGAGACACGGUCCAGACUCCUACGGGAGGCAGCAGUGGGGAAUAUUGGACAAUGGGCGCAAGCCUGAUCCAGCCAUACCGCGUGGGUGAAGAAGGCCUUCGGGUUGUAAAGCCCUUUUGUUGGGAAAGAAAAGCAGCAGGUUAAUACCCCGCUGUUCUGACGGUACCCAAAGAAUAAGCACCGGCUAACUUCGUG
This 492-nucleotide ribosomal RNA is filed under the name uncultured bacterium. RNAcentral's name for it is "partial 16S ribosomal RNA". It matches the Rfam family "Bacterial small subunit ribosomal RNA", at positions 29 to 507 of the family's 1533-position model. The record is from RNAcentral.